RNAcentral lists this transfer RNA (65 nucleotides) under Subdoligranulum variabile. It matches the Rfam family "tRNA", at positions 5 to 66 of the family's 71-position model. From Rfam's summary of the family: Transfer RNA (tRNA) molecules are approximately 80 nucleotides in length. RNAcentral also lists the same sequence under 4 other names. Lineage: Bacteria; Bacillati; Bacillota; Clostridia; Eubacteriales; Oscillospiraceae. The record is from RNAcentral.
CUAUGGCGCAGUUGGUUAGCGCGCCAGAUUGUGGCUCUGGAGGCCGAGAGUUCGAAUCUCUCUAG